AUGGUUUCCUCGGGUCCCCCGAACCCAAUGGGACCUGGGCAGCCAAUGGGUGCUGCUUCUCUUCUCCGGACGAAUUCCAGCCUGCUCAGUGGUGGCCAGCAGGGAAUGGGUAGCGGCGGCAUGCUUCAGUCACAGUCCCCAUUCUCAUCUCUUGUUUCCCCGCGCACACAGUUUAGUGGGAAUGGCCUGCUUGGAGGAUCCUCGAAUGCCUCCCCCCUGCUCAACAGGCAGUCCUUUGGAAACGGAGGCACUGUGCCGGGUCCAGGGCAAAUGGCUAAUGGCGGGCUUCCGAUGAAUACGCUUCAGCAAAGAGGGGGGCUUGAUGGUGCUGGUGACUUGAUUGGCAUGGGUGGAUCUGAUCCUAUGUCAUCCUCCCAGGUUAGUUUGGGCAAUCACCUAGGUUCAGAUAACUUGCAGCAGCAGCAGAAGAUGGAUAUGCAGGAUUUGCAACAGCAGCAGCAGCACCACCAACAACUACCGAUGUCUUACAAUCAGCAGCAAUUGUCAACGCAACCGCUGCAGCUGCAUGCUACAGUGAAGAUGGAGAAUGGCGGCAGCAUAGGUGGAGUCAAAUUAGAACAGCAGAUGGGACAGCUUGACCAAAAUGGCCCAGCCCAGAUGAUGCGCAAUGCUGGCAAUGUAAAAUUUGAGCCACAUCAGUUGCAAUCGUUGAGGGGUUUGGGUGCGGUGAAGAUGGAGCAACCGAAUUCAGAUCCAUCAGCAUUCUUGCAGCAACAGCAGCAGCAGCAGCAGCAGCACCAUUUGUUACAGCUUACGAAGCAGAACCCUCAAGCUGCUGCGGCUGCCCAACUGAACCUUUUGCAACAACAGCGUAUCAUGCAUAUGCAGCAGCAGCAACAACAACAGAUUCUGAAGAACCUUCCUUUACAGAGAAAUCAAUUACAGCAGCAGCAGCAGCAGCAGCAGCAGCAACAUCAACAUCAGCAGCAGCAGUUACUUCGUCAACAAAGUCUAAACAUAAGAACUCCAGGAAAGCCGGCUUCCUAUGAGCCAGGUACCUGUGCAAAGAGACUGACCCAUUACAUGUAUCAUCAACAAAACAGGCCACAGGAUAAUAAUAUUGAGUACUGGAGAAACUUUGUCAAUGAGUAUUUCGCGCCAACUGCCAAAAAGAGGUGGUGUGUAUCUCUCUACGGAACUGGUCGUCAAACUACUGGAGUUUUCCCUCAGGAUGUCUGGCACUGUGAAAUAUGCAAUCGGAAGCCUGGCCGGGGCUUUGAGACAACAGUUGAGGUCUUACCGCGAUUAUGCCAAAUCAAAUAUGCGAGUGGUACAUUGGAAGAACUAUUGUAUAUUGAUAUGCCACGUGAAUCCAAAAAUGCAUCUGGUCAGAUUGUUUUGGACUAUACUAAAGCAAUCCAGGAAAGUGUCUUUGAGCAAUUGCGUGUCGUACGCGAGGGGCAUCUAAGGAUAAUUUUUAAUCCAGACCUCAAGAUUGCAUCUUGGGAGUUCUGUGCUAGGCGUCAUGAGGAACUUAUCCCACGGAGGUCAAUAGUACCGCAGGUUAGUCAGCUUGGCGCGGUUGUACAAAAGUACCAGGCUGCUGCUCAUACUCCAACGAGUUUAACAACUCAGGACAUGCAGAAUAAUUGCAACUCGUUUGUUGCAUGUGCCCGGCAACUGGCUAAAGCUCUGGAGGUGCCUUUGGUAAAUGAUUUAGGAUACACAAAACGAUAUGUCCGCUGCCUUCAGAUUGCAGAGGUGGUAAACUGUAUGAAAGAUUUGAUUGACCACAGCAAGCAGACUGGAUCUGGACCAAUCGAUAGCCUGCAUAAAUUUCCUCGGAGGACUCCAUCAGGGAUCAACCCUCUUCAACCACAGCAGCAACAACCUGAAGAACAGCAAUCUGUUCCGCAGAGUUCAAACCAGAGUGGCCAAAAUUCUGCCCCUAUGGCUGGUGCGCAGGCUUCUGCCUCUGCCAAUGCAGAUGUGACAUCAAAUAAUUCUCUCAGUUGUGCACCCUCUACAUCUGCACCCUCACCAACUGUUAUGGGGAUCCUGCAAGGUUCAAUUGAUUCUAGCCAAGAUCAUCUAAUGAGCAGUGCAAAUGGUCAGUAUAACAGUGGGAAUAAUGGUGCAAUUCCCAAGGUGAACUCCGCAAGUUCAUUACAGUCAAAUCCUUCUACCUCUUUCCCUUCCCAGGUACCUAUAUCAUCCAAUAACAACAUGAUGCCUGCCCUUCAGAAUACAAACCAACUCAGUUCCCCAGCAGUAUCAUCAAACUUGCCGCCAAUGCAGCCUCCUGCAACUCGAUCUCAGGAGCCUGAGCAAAGUGAUGCCCAAAGCUCGGUUGAGAGAAUCUUGCAAGAGAUGAUGUCAUCACAAAUGAAUGGUGUUGGCCAUGCAGGGAAUGACAUGAAGAGACCAAACGGAUUUACCCCUGGUAUUAACGGGGUUAACUGCUUACUUGGUAAUGCUGUCACAAAUCACUCUGGAGUCGGAGGAAUGGGGUUGGGGGCCAUGGGUGGGUUUGGUUCAAAUCCUACAGCUAAUGGGUUGAGAAUGGCAGUGACAAACAAUGCAAUGGCAAUGAACGGGAGGAUGGGAAUGCAUCACAGUGCACAUGACCUAUCACAGUUGGGCCAGCAGCAGCAGCAGCAGCAGCAGCAGCAGCAGCAGCAGCAGCAGCAGCAUGACAUAGGAAAUCAGCUGUUGGGUGGACUUAGAGCAGGAAAUAGCUUCAAUAAUCUUCAGUAUGAUUGGAAACCCUCUCAAUAG
This 2739-nucleotide ribosomal RNA is filed under the name Triticum aestivum (bread wheat). RNAcentral describes it as "partial small subunit ribosomal RNA". The record is from RNAcentral. Lineage: Eukaryota; Viridiplantae; Streptophyta; Magnoliopsida; Poales; Poaceae.